GCCCGUGCCGACACAGUAGAAGAGACAGGGGAGAGGAAGAACGAGAGAGGAAAAGAGAGAGAGAGCGGGGGAGGAAGGAAGAGGGAGAGGAAGGAAGAGAGAGGCCGGCUGAGGCUGGCUGACGGAGGCCAAGGAGGCUCCGCGCAAAGGAGACGGUGGCUGGGGAGACACAGAGGCGGGGCUCUGCCUCCAAUCCUCUAUUUCGUUCGAAACAGGGGCCCAGAAGGGGGCCCUUUUAUUUUUGUGUUUUAAGGGUUGAAGUCGACAAAGGGUUUGCCGACUUCAACUUAAAAGUGCACCCUUGUUUCGAACGAAAUAGGAGACCGGAGGCAGAACACCGCCUCCAUGUCUCUCCGGCCUCCUCCCUGUGGAGGCUCCCCGGCCUCCGCCAGCCGGCCUCUCUUCCUUCCUCUCCCUCUCCCUCCCUUCCUCGCUCUCUCUCUCUCUCUUCUUCUCCUCCUCCCCCUCCGGCGACGGCGUCUCAGUUUCAAUGUCGGAACCGUCCCAGUCCUCCGCCGGUACAGCCCAGGAUGCUCUGAACCGGACGGUUCGGGACGGUUCUGCAGACCUUGGUAUCAAUUGUAACAUUCAAUUCCUAUAUGUCUUGCACAAACAUGAUCUAGUUUGAUUCAACAACAUUGAUAUAGACAA
Molecule: long non-coding RNA, 651 nt
Filed under: Phoenix dactylifera (date palm)
Lineage: Eukaryota; Viridiplantae; Streptophyta; Magnoliopsida; Arecales; Arecaceae
Description: long non-coding RNA (PDAC_LNC019946)
Source: RNAcentral